This 274-nucleotide ribosomal RNA is filed under the name uncultured bacterium. RNAcentral describes it as "partial 16S ribosomal RNA". It matches the Rfam family "Bacterial small subunit ribosomal RNA", at positions 523 to 796 of the family's 1533-position model. The record is from RNAcentral.
AUACGGAGGAUGCGAGCGUUAUCCGGAUUUAUUAGGUUUAAAGGGUGUGUAGGCGGUAUUUUAAGUCAGUGGUGCAAUCUUUCAGCUUAACUGAGAAACUGCCAUUGAUACUGGAAUACUUGAGUAUAGUUGAGGUAGGCGGAAUAUGUAAUGUAGCGGUGAAAUGCAUAGAUAUUACAUAGAACACCGAUUGCGAAGGCAGCCUACUAAACUAUUACUGACGCUGAUGCACGAAAGCGUGGGGAGCGAACAGGAUUAGAAACCCUAGUAGUCC